ACCGAAAGCCUGAGGCUAAUAUCCUCGGGUCAUGACGGUACCGUAAGAUAAGCACCGGCUACUACGUGCCAGCAGCCGCGGUAAUACGUAGGGUGCAAGCGUAAUCGGAAUUACUGGGCGUAAAGCGUGCGCAGGCGGUUUGUAAGACAGUGGUGAAAUCCCCGGGCUCAACCUGGGAACUGCCAUUGUGACUGCAAGGCUGGAGUGCGGCAGAGGGGGAUGGAAUUCCGCGUGUAGCAGUGAAAUGCGUAGAUAUGCGGAGGAACACCGAUGGCGAAGGCAAUCCCCUGGGCCUGCACUGACGCUCAUGCACGAAAGCGUGGGGAGCAAACAGGAUUAGAUACCCUGGUAGUCCACGCUCUAAACGAUGUCAACUGGUUGUUGGGAAUUAACUUUCUCAGUAACGAAGCUAACGCGUGAAGUUGACCGCCUGGGGAGUACGGCCGCAAGGUUAAAACUCAAAGGAAUUGACGGGGACCCGCACAAGCGGUGGAUGAUGUGGUUUAAUUCGAUGCAACGCGAAAAACCUUACCCACCUUUGACAUGGCAGGAACUUACCAGAGAUGGUUUGGUGCUCGAAAGAGAACCUGCACACAGGUGCUGCAUGGCUGUCGUCAGCUCGUGUCGUGAGAUGUUGGGUUAAGUCCCGCAACGAGCGCAACCCUUGCCAUUAGUUGCUACAUUCAGUUGAGCACUCUAAUGGGACUGCCGGUGACAAACCGGAGGAAGGUGGGGAUGACGUCAAGUCCUCAUGGCCCUUAUAGGUGGGGCUACACACGUCAUACAAUGGCUGGUACAAAGGGUUGCCAACCCGCGAGGGGGAGCUAAUCCCAUAAAGCCAGUCGUAGUCCGGAUCGCAGUCUGCAACUCGACUGCGUGAAGUCGGAAUCGCUAGUAAUCGUGGAUCAGAAUGUCACGGUGAAUACGUUCCCGGGUCUUGUACACACCGCCCGUCACACCAUGGGAGCGGGUCUCGCCAGAAGUAGGUAGCCUAACCGCGAGGAGGGCGCUUACCACGGCGGGGUUCGUGACUGGGGUGAAGUCGUAACAAGGUAA
This 1056-nucleotide ribosomal RNA is filed under the name Comamonas testosteroni. Its description in RNAcentral is "bacterial SSU rRNA". It matches the Rfam family "Bacterial small subunit ribosomal RNA", at positions 440 to 1499 of the family's 1533-position model. Lineage: Bacteria; Pseudomonadati; Pseudomonadota; Betaproteobacteria; Burkholderiales; Comamonadaceae. The record is from RNAcentral.